UUUAUGGAGAGUUUGAUCCUGGCUCAGAGUGAACGCUGGCGGCGUGCCUAAUACAUGCAAGUCGAACGAUGAAGCUUCUAGCUUGCUAGAAGUGGAUUAGUGGCGCACGGGUGAGUAACGCAUAGGUUAUGUGCCUCUUAGUUUGGGAUAGCCAUUGGAAACGAUGAUUAAUACCAGAUACUCCCUACGGGGGAAAGAUUUAUCGCUAAGAGAUCAGCCUAUGUCCUAUCAGCUUGUUGGUAAGGUAAUGGCUUACCAAGGCUAUGACGGGUAUCCGGCCUGAGAGGGUGAACGGACACACUGGAACUGAGACACGGUCCAGACUCCUACGGGAGGCAGCAGUAGGGAAUAUUGCUCAAUGGGGGAAACCCUGAAGCAGCAACGCCGCGUGGAGGAUGAAGGUUUUAGGAUUGUAAACUCCUUUUGUUAGAGAAGAUAAUGACGGUAUCUAACGAAUAAGCACCGGCUAACUCCGUGCCAGCAGCCGCGGUAAUACGGAGGGUGCAAGCGUUACUCGGAAUCACUGGGCGUAAAGAGCGCGUAGGCGGGAUAGUCAGUCAGGUGUGAAAUCCUAUGGCUUAACCAUAGAACUGCAUUUGAAACUACUAUUCUAGAGUGUGGGAGAGGUAGGUGGAAUUCUUGGUGUAGGGGUAAAAUCCGUAGAGAUCAAGAGGAAUACUCAUUGCGAAGGCGACCUGCUGGAACAUUACUGACGCUGAUUGCGCGAAAGCGUGGGGAGCAAACAGGAUUAGAUACCCUGGUAGUCCACGCCCUAAACGAUGGAUGCUAGUUGUUGGAGGGCUUAGUCUCUCCAGUAAUGCAGCUAACGCAUUAAGCAUCCCGCCUGGGGAGUACGGUCGCAAGAUUAAAACUCAAAGGAAUAGACGGGGACCCGCACAAGCGGUGGAGCAUGUGGUUUAAUUCGAAGAUACACGAAGAACCUUACCUAGGCUUGACAUUGAGAGAAUCCGCUAGAAAUAGUGGAGUGUCUAGCUUGCUAGACCUUGAAAACAGGUGCUGCACGGCUGUCGUCAGCUCGUGUCGUGAGAUGUUGGGUUAAGUCCCGCAACGAGCGCAACCCCCUUUCUUAGUUGCUAACAGGUCAUGCUGAGAACUCUAAGGAUACUGCCUCCGUAAGGAGGAGGAAGGUGGGGACGACGUCAAGUCAUCAUGGCCCUUACGCCUAGGGCUACACACGUGCUACAAUGGGGUGCACAAAGAGAAGCAAUACUGCGAAGUGGAGCCAAUCUUCAAAACGCCUCUCAGUUCGGAUUGUAGGCUGCAACUCGCCUGCAUGAAGCUGGAAUCGCUAGUAAUCGCAAAUCAGCCAUGUUGCGGUGAAUACGUUCCCGGGUCUUGUACUCACCGCCCGUCACACCAUGGGAGUUGUGUUUGCCUUAAGUCAGGAUGCUAAACUAGCUACUGCCCACGGCACACACAGCGACUGGGGUGAAGUCGUAACAAGGUAACCGUAGGUGAACCUGCGGUUGGAUCACCUCCUUUCUAGA
Molecule: ribosomal RNA, 1508 nt
Filed under: Helicobacter pylori
Lineage: Bacteria; Pseudomonadati; Campylobacterota; Epsilonproteobacteria; Campylobacterales; Helicobacteraceae
Description: bacterial SSU rRNA
Rfam family: Bacterial small subunit ribosomal RNA
Source: RNAcentral